AUUGAACGCUGGCGGCAUGCUUUACACAUGCAAGUCGAACGGUAGAGGGGGCAACCCCUUGAGAGUGGCGAACGGGUGAGUAAUGCAUCGGAACGUGCCCAGUCGUGGGGGAUAACGCAGCGAAAGCUGUGCUAAUAACGCAUACGAUCUCUGGAUGAAAGCGGGGGACCGAAAGGCCUCGUGCGAUUGGAGCGGCCGAUGUCAGAUUAGGUAGUUGGUGGGGUAAAGGCUCACCAAGCCAAAGAUCUGUAGCUGGUCUGAGAGGACGACCAGCAAAACUGGGACUGAUAAACGACCCAGACUCCUACGGGAGGCAGCAGUUGGGAAUUUUGGACAAUGGGCGCAAGCCUGAUCCAGCAAUGCCGCGUGCAGGAAGAAGGCCUUCGGGUUGUAAACUGCUUUUGUACGGAACGAAAAGGUCUGGGUUAAUACCCUGGGCACAUGACGGUACCGUAAGAAUAAGCACCGGCUAACUACGUGCCAGCAGCCGCCGCAG
RNAcentral lists this ribosomal RNA (496 nucleotides) under uncultured bacterium. RNAcentral's name for it is "partial 16S ribosomal RNA". It matches the Rfam family "Bacterial small subunit ribosomal RNA", at positions 30 to 523 of the family's 1533-position model. The record is from RNAcentral.